This 403-nucleotide long non-coding RNA is filed under the name Setaria viridis. Its description in RNAcentral is "long non-coding RNA (SVIR_LNC007444)". The record is from RNAcentral. Lineage: Eukaryota; Viridiplantae; Streptophyta; Magnoliopsida; Poales; Poaceae.
CAAUCUACAAAUUUUUGGACUAAAUUUUAGAGGAAUUUGAAUAAUCUUCGGUUGCAUUUGCACCUUAAUUACAACAUGAGAAGUGGGGAGACUAGCUUUUUUUUUCAAUGAAAAUACGUGUCACAACAUGUUCUAGCGUUUUUGAGGUUUAGUUAAUUAGCUCUGAAUCUUCUUCACUCUUACCAUGGUGGCGGGUGACACAAGUGUUGGAGCUGCCUACCUUCCGAGUGCAACUUGGACUCUGCAUGCCGACGAUGCCGUCCCAACCUUGCCUUCCACUUCUGCUAUCCGGCAGAAAGGCCUCCUCGAUCUUCCGGCCAAUAUGGCAAGCAUGAGUCACGCUACACUGAGCAUCUUUGCGCUAUACCACUGCAUGUUUAUAAAACGAAAGAUGGCACUUCCU